This 402-nucleotide unclassified non-coding RNA is filed under the name Hevea brasiliensis (rubber tree). The record is from RNAcentral. Lineage: Eukaryota; Viridiplantae; Streptophyta; Magnoliopsida; Malpighiales; Euphorbiaceae.
AGGAGCUGGUUGUGGCCGUCAACUGGUGAAGUUUUCUGGCAAGGUAUCUAUGAGAAAGAAAGAAAUUUGAAAAACAAAGAGAAGGAGAAAAGGAGGCAACAGAGUAAGGAUAAAAUCAAAAGGAUCAAGAAUCGAACCCAUCAAAAAGCAUUAGGAAAAUAUGUGAAGCCUCCUCCUGAAGAUUUGGAAAAAUUAAACGCAACGACGACAACAACAGCAACAGCAAGGCUAAUGAGGUAGCACUAGUCUACAGGUAGUCUGUCCAAAGUUAAAUAGUCUAAUUUGGUCAAUAUAUAUAUAUAUUUUUCGAAAUCCCUACCAUUUUUUCAUUUUUGUUCAGAGGGAUGUUAUAGGUUUUUAUUACAUGUAUGUGAGGGUAUUGAGCAUAGAUGCAUCCUUCUG